RNAcentral lists this ribosomal RNA (117 nucleotides) under Chloroflexota bacterium. Lineage: Bacteria; Bacillati; Chloroflexota. The record is from RNAcentral.
CUUGGUGGCUAGAGCGGAGUGGAACCACCCGUUCCCAUCCCGAACACGGAAGUGAAACGCUCCAGCGCCGACGAUACUUGCGGGGCGACCCGCCGGGAAAAUAGGCCGCCGCCAGGG